This 482-nucleotide ribosomal RNA is filed under the name uncultured bacterium. Its description in RNAcentral is "bacterial SSU rRNA". It matches the Rfam family "Bacterial small subunit ribosomal RNA", at positions 30 to 506 of the family's 1533-position model. The record is from RNAcentral.
AUUGAACGCUGGCGGCAUGCUUUACACAUGCAAGUCGAGCGGCAGCGCGGGGGCAACCCUGGCGGCGAGCGGCGAACGGGUGAGUAAUGCAUCGGAACGUAUCCUGUAGUGGGGAAUAACUCACCGAAAGGUGAGCUAAUACCGCAUAAGCUCUGAGGAGGAAAGCGGGGGACCGAAAGGCCUCGCGCUGCAGGAGCGGCCGAUGUCCGAUUAGCUAGUUGGUGAGGUAAAGGCUCACCAAGGCGACGAUCGGUAGCUGGUCUGAGAGGAUGAUCAGCCACACUGGGACUGAGACACGGCCCAGACUCCUACGGGAGGCAGCAGUGGGGAAUUUUGGACAAUGGGCGAAAGCCUGAUCCAGCCAUUCCGCGUGCAGGAUGAAGGCCCUCGGGUUGUAAACUGCUUUGUACAGACGAAAAAGACUCUUUCUAAUACAGAGAGUCCAUGACGGUACUGUAAGAAUAAGCACCGGCUAACUACGU